UACGGAGGGUGCGAGCGUUGUCCGGAAUCACUGGGCGUAAAGGGCGCGUAGGCGGCUUCUCAAGCGUGUGGUGAAAGUCCGGGGCUCAACCCCGGAUCGGCCGUGCGGACUGGGGAGCUCGAGUUCUGUAGAGGCGGGUGGAAUUCCGGGUGUAGCGGUGGAAUGCGUAGAGAUCCGGAGGAACACCGGUGGUGUAAACGGCUUUCUGGACCAUAACUGACGCUGAGGCACGAAAGCGUGGGUAGCAAACAGG
This 253-nucleotide ribosomal RNA is filed under the name uncultured bacterium. RNAcentral describes it as "partial 16S ribosomal RNA". It matches the Rfam family "Bacterial small subunit ribosomal RNA", at positions 524 to 776 of the family's 1533-position model. The record is from RNAcentral.